RNAcentral lists this ribosomal RNA (492 nucleotides) under uncultured bacterium. RNAcentral describes it as "partial 16S ribosomal RNA". It matches the Rfam family "Bacterial small subunit ribosomal RNA", at positions 30 to 507 of the family's 1533-position model. The record is from RNAcentral.
AUUGAACGCUGGCGGCAUGCUUUACACAUGCAAGUCGAACGGUAACAGGCCUUCGGGUGUUGACGAGUGGCGAACGGGUGAGUAAUGCAUCGGAACGUACCCAGAGGUGGGGGAUAACGCAGCGAAAGCUGUGCUAAUACCGCAUGUGAUCUGAGGAUGAAAGCGGGGGACCGAGCAGCAAUGUUUGGCCUCGCGCCUUUGGAGCGGCCGAUGUCGGAUUAGCUAGUUGGUGGGGUAAAGGCCUACCAAGGCGACGAUCCGUAGCUGGUCUGAGAGGACGACCAGCCACACUGGGACUGAGACACGGCCCAGACUCCUACGGGAGGCAGCAAUGGGGAAUUUUGGACAAUGGGCGCAAGCCUGAUCCAGCAAUGCCGCGUGCGGGAAGAAGGCCUUCGGGUUGUAAACCGCUUUUGGCAGGAACGAAACGGUGUCCGCUAAUACCGGGCGCUAAUGACGGUACCUGCAGAAUAAGCACCGGCUAACUACGUG